RNAcentral lists this ribosomal RNA (1252 nucleotides) under Ophiocordyceps sp. RNAcentral's name for it is "partial large subunit ribosomal RNA". It matches the Rfam family "Eukaryotic large subunit ribosomal RNA", at positions 114 to 1398 of the family's 3401-position model. Lineage: Eukaryota; Fungi; Ascomycota; Sordariomycetes; Hypocreales; Ophiocordycipitaceae. The record is from RNAcentral.
UUUGAAAUCCGGCCCCCCGGGCCCGAGUUGUAAUUUGCAGAGGAUGCUUUUGGCGCGGCGCCUUCCGAGUUCCCUGGAACGGGACGCCAUAGAGGGUGAGAGCCCCGUCUGGUCGGACGCCCAGCCUCCGUAAAGCUCCUUCGACGAGUCGAGUAGUUUGGGAAUGCUGCUCAAAAUGGGAGGUAUAUGUCUUCUAAAGCUAAAUACCGGCCAGAGACCGAUAGCGCACAAGUAGAGUGAUCGAAAGAUGAAAAGCACUUUGAAAAGAGGGUUAAACAGUACGUGAAAUUGUUGAAAGGGAAGCGCUUGUGACCAGACUCGGGCGCGGCGAAUCAUCCGGCGUUCUCGCCGGUGCACUUCGCCGCGCCCGGGCCAGCAUCGGUUCGCGGCGGGGGACAAAGGCGCCGGGAACGUGGCUCCCCCGGGAGUGUUAUAGCCCGGCGCGCAAUGCCCCGCGGCGGACCGAGGUUCGCGCACCGCAAGGAUGCUGGCGUAAUGGUCCCCAGCGACCCGUCUUGAAACACGGACCAAGGAGUCGUCUUCGUAUGCGAGUGUUCGGGUGCCAAACCCCUACGCGGAAUGAAAGUGAACGCAGGUGAGAGCUUCGGCGCAUCAUCGACCGAUCCUGAUGUUCUCGGAUGGAUUUGAGUAAGAGCAUACGGGGCCGGACCCGAAAGAAGGUGAACUAUGCCUGUGUAGGGUGAAGCCAGAGGAAACUCUGGUGGAGGCUCGCAGCGGUUCUGACGUGCAAAUCGAUCGUCAAACAUGGGCAUGGGGGCGAAAGACUAAUCGAACCUUCUAGUAGCUGGUUUCCGCCGAAGUUUCCCUCAGGAUAGCAGUGUUGAACUCAGUUUUAUGAGGUAAAGCGAAUGAUUAGGGACCCGGGGGCGCUCUUUAGCCUUCAUCCAUUCUCAAACUUUAAAUAUGUAAGAAGCCCUUGUUGCUUAGGUGAACGUGGGCAUUCGAAUGCAUCAACACUAGUGGGCCAUUUUUGGUAAGCAGAACUGGCGAUGCGGGAUGAACCGAACGCGAGGUUAAGGUGCCGGAGUGGACGCUCAUCAGACACCACAAAAGGCGUUAGUACAUCUUGACAGCAGGACGGUGGCCAUGGAAGUCGGAAUCCGCUAAGGACUGUGUAACAACUCACCUGCCGAAUGUACUAGCCCUGAAAAUGGAUGGCGCUCAAGCGUCCCACCCAUACCUCGCCCUCGGGGUAGAAGCGACGCCCCGAGGAGUAGGCGGACGUGGGGGU